RNAcentral lists this small nuclear RNA (278 nucleotides) under Nannospalax galili (Upper Galilee mountains blind mole rat). Its description in RNAcentral is "7SK RNA (ENSNGAG00000007022.1)". It matches the Rfam family "7SK RNA". Rfam says of the family: 7SK was discovered as an abundant small nuclear RNA in the mid-70s but a possible function has only recently been suggested. Two independent studies have found that 7SK RNA binds the CDK9/cyclin T complex (known as elongation factor P-TEFb). Lineage: Eukaryota; Metazoa; Chordata; Mammalia; Rodentia; Spalacidae. The record is from RNAcentral.
GUAUGUGAGGGUGAUCUGGCUGCAAUGAUGUACUCCAUUGAUUGGAGUACAUGAUCUGGCUGAUCUGGCUGGCUUAGGUCGGUGUCCCCUCCCUUCUGCACCACUCCAUGUGUGUCCCUGCAGAAACUGCAUGUAAAGGUGGGCCAGUCUAUGGUCUAGAGUAUGUAAGUAGCUGUGCUUCCCUGCUAAGACUUCCAAACAAGCUCUCAAGAAUGUGAGGUUUGCUGGUUGGCUCUGUAGUAGAGCACAUGCUCAAUAGGCAGGAGUCCCCGGGUUCA